Molecule: RNA transcript, 5831 nt
Organism: Heteronotia binoei (common prickly gecko)
Lineage: Eukaryota; Metazoa; Chordata; Lepidosauria; Squamata; Gekkonidae
Gene: ATP2A2
Gene name: ATPase sarcoplasmic/endoplasmic reticulum Ca2+ transporting 2
Exons: 21
Source: RefSeq, a predicted model, not a curated record
GGCUCUUUCUAUGGUGGCGACUCGGAGGCGGCGUGGGGAUCCGUAGGGGCGGGGGGGGGUGGCGAGGCGCAGGGGCGAAGUGGCCGGCCGAGGCUCCGCUCCGGGUUGCUGCUGCUGCUGCGAAGGAGGAAGAGGAAGAGCGAGGAGGAGAGAGCAGCGAGGAGGAGGCACGCCGGGGAACCACUACUCGCCUCCCUUCUGCCGCUGCUGCUGCUUCCCGGCCUCCGCCGCCAUGGAGAACGCGCACACCAAGACCGUGGAGGAAGUGCUGGCUUAUUUCAGCGUCAACGAGAGCACCGGGCUCAGCUUGGAGCAAGUCAAGAAGCUCAGGGAGAGAUGGGGAGCCAACGAACUACCAGCUGAAGAAGGAAAAACUUUACUUGAGCUCGUGAUCGAACAGUUUGAAGACUUAUUAGUUAGAAUUUUGUUGUUGGCAGCAUGUAUAUCUUUUGUGUUGGCCUGGUUUGAAGAAGGUGAAGAAACAGUAACAGCCUUUGUAGAACCAUUUGUAAUUUUACUCAUAUUAGUUGCUAAUGCAAUUGUGGGUGUGUGGCAGGAGAGAAAUGCUGAAAAUGCUAUUGAAGCUCUUAAAGAAUAUGAACCUGAAAUGGGUAAAGUAUAUCGACAAGACAGAAAAAGUGUCCAAAGGAUAAAAGCUAGAGACAUCGUCCCCGGUGAUAUUGUGGAAGUAGCUGUUGGAGACAAGGUACCUGCUGAUAUAAGAAUUACUUCUAUAAAAUCUACAACUCUAAGGGUAGACCAAUCAAUUCUUACAGGUGAAUCCGUGUCUGUAAUCAAGCACACAGACCCCGUGCCCGAUCCUCGUGCGGUGAAUCAGGACAAGAAGAACAUGCUCUUUUCUGGUACGAACAUUGCUGCAGGCAAAGCCAUGGGUGUGGUCGUGGCAACCGGGGUCAACACCGAAAUUGGCAAAAUCCGUGACGAAAUGGUGGCCACUGAGCAAGAGAGGACCCCGCUCCAGCAGAAGCUGGACGAGUUUGGGGAGCAGCUGUCAAAGGUCAUCUCGCUUAUAUGCAUAGCGGUGUGGAUAAUCAACAUUGGUCACUUCAAUGAUCCUGUCCAUGGUGGCUCUUGGAUCCGGGGCGCCAUCUACUACUUCAAGAUUGCUGUCGCCCUGGCAGUGGCUGCCAUCCCAGAAGGUCUGCCUGCUGUCAUUACCACCUGCUUGGCUCUGGGAACCCGCCGAAUGGCCAAAAAGAAUGCUAUUGUUCGAAGCCUACCCUCCGUGGAAACCCUGGGCUGCACUUCAGUCAUUUGCUCAGACAAGACUGGCACUCUUACCACCAACCAGAUGUCUGUCUGCAGGAUGUUCGUUCUGGACAGAGUGGAAGGGGACAGCUGUUCUCUGAAUGAAUUUACAGUGUCUGGCUCAACAUACGCUCCUAUGGGAGAAGUGCAUAAAGAUGACAAACUUGUCAGAUGCUCUCAGUAUGACGGCCUUAUAGAACUGGCAACCAUCUGUGCCCUCUGCAACGACUCUUCUCUGGAUUUCAAUGAGGGAAAGGGCGUCUACGAGAAGGUCGGCGAAGCUACAGAGACAGCCCUCACUUGCCUGGUUGAGAAGAUGAAUGUGUUUGACACGGAAUUGAAAGGCCUGUCCAGAAUUGAACGAGCAAACGCUUGCAACUCGGUGAUAAAGCAGCUCAUGAAGAAAGAGUUCACUCUUGAAUUCUCACGAGAUAGGAAGUCGAUGUCUGUGUACUGCACUCCAAACAAGCCCAGUCGGACAGCCAUGAGCAAGAUGUUUGUUAAGGGCGCUCCCGAAGGUGUGAUCGACAGGUGCACGCACAUUCGAGUGGGAAGCACUAAAAUGCCUUUGACGCCGGGAAUUAAGCAGAAGAUCCUGACCGUCAUCCGAGAGUGGGGCUCAGGCAGAGACACUCUGCGUUGUCUGGCUCUGGCAACGCACGACAAUCCACCAAGGAGGGAUGAAAUGAACCUGGAGGACUCUGCAAACUUCAUUAAUUACGAGACCAAUUUGACCUUCGUCGGCUGCGUGGGAAUGCUGGAUCCCCCCAGAAUUGAAGUGGCUUCGUCCAUCAAGCUCUGCAGGCAAGCCGGCAUUCGCGUGAUCAUGAUAACCGGGGACAACAAAGGGACUGCGGUGGCCAUCUGUCGUCGCAUUGGCAUCUUUGGGGAAGAGGAGGAUGUCACCACAAAAGCCUUCACUGGCCGCGAGUUCGACGAACUCUCCCCGGCUGCCCAGAGAGACGCUUGUCAAAAUGCCCGCUGUUUUGCCCGUGUGGAACCUUCCCAUAAGUCUAAAAUUGUCGAGUUCCUGCAGUCUUUUGAUGAGAUCACAGCUAUGACUGGCGAUGGUGUAAACGAUGCCCCAGCCCUGAAGAAAGCAGAGAUCGGAAUUGCAAUGGGGUCGGGCACCGCCGUGGCAAAGACAGCUUCAGAAAUGGUGCUGGCGGAUGACAACUUCUCGACAAUCGUAGCUGCUGUGGAAGAGGGCCGUGCAAUCUACAAUAACAUGAAACAGUUCAUUCGCUACCUCAUCUCUUCAAACGUCGGGGAGGUCGUCUGUAUCUUCCUGACUGCUGCUCUGGGUUUCCCUGAAGCUUUAAUUCCCGUCCAGCUGUUGUGGGUGAAUCUCGUGACUGACGGCCUGCCUGCCACUGCCCUGGGCUUCAACCCCCCUGAUCUGGACAUCAUGGACAAACCUCCUCGCAAUCCUAAAGAGCCCCUGAUCUCCGGCUGGCUCUUCUUCCGUUAUUUGGCCAUAGGAUGCUACGUUGGAGCUGCUACCGUGGGGGCUGCCGCUUGGUGGUUUAUUGCUGCUGAUGGUGGACCAAGAAUCACCUUCUACCAGCUGAGCCAUUUCCUGCAGUGCAAAGAUGAAAACCCAGAUUUCGAAGGUGUCGACUGUGUUGUCUUUGAGUCUCCGUAUCCUAUGACAAUGGCUCUUUCUGUCUUGGUCACAAUUGAGAUGUGCAAUGCCCUCAACAGCCUGUCAGAGAACCAGUCUUUGCUGCGGAUGCCUCCCUGGGAGAAUGUCUGGCUGCUGGGUUCCAUCUGCUUGUCCAUGUCUCUUCAUUUCCUCAUCCUCUACGUGGAGCCACUGCCACUGAUCUUCCAAAUCACACCCUUGAAUCUGACCCAGUGGCUGAUGGUUUUGAAAAUCUCACUGCCCGUCAUUCUGCUGGAUGAAACACUUAAAUUUGUGGCGCGUAACUACUUAGAGCCUGGUAAAGAUAGUCUGCCGCCUGCCACCAAACCGCGUCCUCUGUCCGCAUGCACUGAAGGGAUUUCCUGGCCGUUUGUGUUCAUUACCUUGCCCUUGGUUAUCUGGCUGUACAGCACAGACACUAACUUUAGCGACAUGUUCUUGUCUUGACCUGAAGUGAAUAACCGUUUGACAGAGAGAUGUUUAACUUAAAUCAAAUUUUUUUUUAUUGUUUAAAGCAAUUUGUCUUAUUCUGCUGAAUUUUCACAUGAACAUAUUUGCCGGUGACUGAGGUUUCAUAUUCCUAAAUUUUUUGGGUUUUCUUAAUUUCCACCCCGACUCCAGUAGGGGAGCGGUAUUCCCCCCCCCUUCUUUUAUACACAACUAGGGUGUCCAUUGACAUGUACAGAGAAAUUAACACUAUUUUAUGCAAAUAUUUUUUGUAGAGGAGAAGCAUGUACAGUGUUCUGUUUAAUAGUUAACCCAUCCUUGUAAAAACAAAAUAAUAGUGUUUUGCGGGACUGGGGAGGGGGGGGGGGGGAGUACCAGUGGACACUAUUUAGCAAGCAUCAAUUGGUAGCAGAUUUUAGGGAAUGAAUGUUUUUUCUUUCUUUUUUUUUUUUGCGUGUCUUUUUUCUCUCAAACUAAAAGCAUGCAGUUUUGUGUGUAUUCUGCAUGGUCAUCUAAUUUGUCAUUCAGUUGGGCUUUUUCUGCACUGGGCGGAGUAUACUGCUACCUCAGUAUUUUUUCCCUACCCCCUCCUUUCUGUUCUUCUUCCCAUCUUUUCUUCUCCACCCCCUUUCCGUAUUUUAGGUUCUGACUUAAUUUUGUUUACACCCAUCUUAAUGCGAGGCGCGUCUGUUCUCGCCAGUGCAGAAAAUAACCCUCCCAGGAGCAACCUCUUAAUGUUGUGCGGUGGUGUUUCCCCCCACCCCCAUCUCCGCUUAACACAAGUAGGGAUUUUUUUUAAAAAAAAAAAUAUUUAUUUAAAAUGUCUUACGUGUAUUGUAACAGCAUUAUUUCACCGGCAUUGCCUGUUCUGUGUGGGUGGGGGAGAAGCAGAAAGGGAGAUAGAUGGCUGCCAGGAUGGACUUCUCAAACGAGGGGGGAAAAACCAUAAAAUUAAAAAAAAAAACACCUUUUUUACUGAGAGAUUUCUACGGCUGUCUUUUCAUAUUAAGCCCUAGGAAACUGAGUUCCUUUUUAAUUAUCUUUUUUUUUUUUUUUUUUGCGUGUGUCCGACUUUCCUUUUUUUCUUUCUUUUUUUGGUUCUAUUUUUAAAUCUGAGCAUUUGGUAACGGGCCUUGGAAGCAAACAACUCAAAUUAACCCAGCUGGAGUUCUCGCUGGGUUUUUGGUUUUUUUUGUUAAACCUCUAACUGUCAGUGACACAUCUUGGAGCAUAGCCUGCUGGCCACGUUCUUCUAGCCUGAUGUGGAAAAGUAACCACGUUUCUGUGUGUGUGUGUGUGUGUGCGCGUGCGUGUGUUUUGUAAAAUCUGUAAAUACCACAUGACCAAAUGAACAUAUUGUAUAGAACUAUUUUUUAUUUUUAAUGUGGCACUAACCACCGUCAUUCUAUUAAGAUAAAUGUUAGCGCAUGAUGUUCGUGUUUUGCCCCUCCAAACUGAGUCCUGUACCAACAACAUGUAAGUUCAUUAACAGUCCUAACUGUGUGGUGUUUCUCUCCAAUGCCUUCCAACAUUCAUCGACUGAACAAAACUGGAGUAAUCUCUUAGCCCUAAGCAAAUUUUUGCAGAAACGUAAGAUUAAUUUUUGUUGUGUGCAUGCGUCUUUAGCUACGCAUCUACCGAAAACAUCUGCAUGAGUCUUGUAAAUGAAUACAGAAACAAAAUUCUUUCCCCAGGGAGGGAGGAAAAAAAUAGAACUGAAAAGUCGUGUUCUGUGAAGGAAGUGUGUGGUGCUCUUGAAGCUUCAGUUCAUAUACAGAUCUACAAAUGUGCAAUAUAGUUUUUAACUGAUUAAAACAGACCACUCCACAAGGAAGUUUUUGGGGUUCUUUGCUGCAUGAAGACGACAAUCUCCCUAAACUGCUAAAGCAAGAAUUAAAGAGAGUGGCGAUCGGCCAAGUUUUAUUCUCCUUUUUUUCAUAUUCCGUUGUGUAAAAUGUCAUAGUUGUACAAUAUUGGACUGUAAUGCAUGCUUUUCAGUUGUAAGUAGCCGAUAAUCUCUUAUUGUAUCUUAAACAGACCACUUUAAACAGCUCUGUACAAUAUGCAAUUCUAUUUAUACAGGUUCAUUGACAACGGUACUGUUGUUGAAUGUUUGAGAAAUUGUUUUAAAAAAACCCAACAACCUUCAAUUCCAUACCUUCAGCUUUUUAAAACAAAAACUUGGAGUGUGCAAAUAGACUUAUUUUGCACUGUAAUAAUGUAACUUAUUUAAUUCUAAAGCCGUAGACACACACGUUGGUGCAAUACACAUGUUGUGAUGGCGUUUUAUCUUAACAGCAGCAGAAGCCCAAUCAUGAACUUAGUUCAUACAAGCAGCAUGUGUGACCUUUCUUUUUUUUUAGGAGUUGUAAAUAACAUUUGGUUGUUCUGAUUCAAUGCCAACAAUAACGAGCAUCACACCUACCAUCCUGGUUUCAGGUAAAAUAAACUUAUUCUAUGAUACACAGUU